GACGAACGCUGGCGGCGUGCUUAACACAUGCAAGUCGAACGCUGAAGCCCUUCGGGGUGGAUGAGUGGCGAGCGGGUGAGUAACACGUGGGUAAUCUGCCCUGCACUCUGGGAUAAGCCUUGGAAACGGGGUCUAAUACCGGAUAGGACACAUCGCCGCAUGGUGUGUGUGUGGAAAGUUCCGGCGGUGCAGGUUGAGCCCGCGGCCUAUCAGCUUGUUGGUGGGGUGAUGGCCUACCAAGGCGACGACGGGUAGCCGGCCUGAGAGGGUGACCGGCCACACUGGGACUGAGACACGGCCCAGACUCCUACGGGAGGCAGCAGUGGGGAAUCUUGCGCAAUGGGCGAAAGCCUGACGCAGCAACGCCGCGUGGGGGAUGACGGCCUUCGGGUUGUAAACCUCUUUCGACCGGGACGAAGGAUUCGUUUGACGGUACCGGUAGAAGAAGCACCGGCUAACUACGUGCCAGCCGCCGCGGAA
RNAcentral lists this ribosomal RNA (480 nucleotides) under uncultured bacterium. RNAcentral's name for it is "partial 16S ribosomal RNA". It matches the Rfam family "Bacterial small subunit ribosomal RNA", at positions 28 to 522 of the family's 1533-position model. The record is from RNAcentral.